GCAGCCAUAUCACUCUGCAACUCACAACUGGCAACCCACUGAAGCUUAGCAGGUGUGAGCCUGGUCAAUACCUGGAUGGGAGACCUCAUCGGGAAAACUAAGGUUGCUGCAGGAA
This 115-nucleotide ribosomal RNA is filed under the name Lepisosteus oculatus (spotted gar). The record is from RNAcentral. Lineage: Eukaryota; Metazoa; Chordata; Actinopteri; Semionotiformes; Lepisosteidae.